ACGAACGCUGGCGGCAUGCCUAACACAUGCAAGUCGAACGAGACCUUCGGGUCUAGUGGCGCACGGGUGCGUCACGCGUGGGAACCUGCCCUUAGGUUCGGAAUAACUCCCCGAAAGGGGUGCUAAUACCGGAUAAUGUCUUCGGACCAAAGAUUUAUCGCCUUUGGAUGGGCCCGCGUUGGAUUAGCUAGUUGGUAGGGUAAAAGCCUACCAAGGCGACGAUCCAUAGCUGGUCUGAGAGGAUGAUCAGCCACACUGGGACUGAGACACGGCCCAGACUCCUACGGGAGGCAGCAGUGGGGAAUAUUGGACAAUGGGCGAAAGCCUGAUCCAGCAAUGCCGCGUGAGUGAUGAAGGCCUUAGGGUUGUAAAGCUCUUUUACCCGGGAUGAUAAUGACAGUACCGGGAGAACAAGCUCCGGCUAACUCCGUG
Molecule: ribosomal RNA, 432 nt
Filed under: uncultured bacterium
Lineage: Bacteria
Description: partial 16S ribosomal RNA
Rfam family: Bacterial small subunit ribosomal RNA
Source: RNAcentral